This 418-nucleotide ribosomal RNA is filed under the name uncultured Leotiomycetes. RNAcentral describes it as "eukaryotic LSU rRNA". It matches the Rfam family "Eukaryotic large subunit ribosomal RNA", at positions 1 to 420 of the family's 3401-position model. The record is from RNAcentral. Lineage: Eukaryota; Fungi; Ascomycota; Leotiomycetes.
UUGACCUCGGAUCAGGUAGGGAUACCCGCUGAACUUAAGCAUAUCAAUAAGCGGAGGAAAAGAAACCAACAGGGAUUGCCUCAGUAACGGCGAGUGAAGCGGCAACAGCUCAAAUUUGAAAUCUGCCUCUAGGCCGAGUUGUAAUUUGUAGAAGAUGCUUCGGGUGUGGCACCGGUCUAAGUUCCUUGGAACAGGACGUCAUAGAGGGUGAGAAUCCCGUAUGUGAUCGGUUGCCUUGCCAUGUGAAGCUCCUUCGACGAGUCGAGUUGUUUGGGAAUGCAGCUCUAAAUGGGAGGUAAAAUUUCUUCUAAAGCUAAAUACUGGCCAGAGACCGAUAGCGCACAAGUAGAGUGAUCGAAAGAUGAAAAGCACUUUGGAAAGAGAGUCAAAAAGUACGUGAAAUUGUUGAAAGGGAAGC